AGAUUACUUAACAUCAAACCUAUAAAAAAAUUGUUCAUUAAACCAAAGCAAUCAAAUACCUCACAAUCUGGCCAGAAAGGUUCUUUCGGCAUUUCGCUUACAUGGUUGGCUUCCACCUAUCCCCUCAGACGGAAGGGAAAGAACCUAAAGAGUAGAAAUAUCGGACGGGGCGAGCUAGAGGCGUACACAUGGGAUAGCAAACCGUAUAAAAGGGAAGCCCCAACCGAGGGGCAGAUCAGAUCACUUUGGGACGUCUCACUGGUGGGAUCUCGUGUUGGUUGGACGAUAAAAUUGGACCCGUUCUUCUCUCACCUACGGUGUUCUAGUGUAUUUCUUCAUCCGCAAACCGGACUAGCUGAUCGCUUAUCCUACAGAGUCGUGGGGGAGCCUGGAGCCUAUCCCAGGGAACUCGGGGCACAAGGUGGGGGACAUCCUGGACGGGGUGCCAGUCCACUGCAGUGCACAAUCACACACCUUCACAUGUGUUUGGACUGGCGGAGGAAACCGGAGUACCCAGAGGAAAGCAGGAGGAGAACAUGCAUGCUCAGCGCACACAGGGUGGAGGUGGGAUUCAAACCCCCGACUACGGGGGUACACAACACACAUGCUAACCGUUUAGCUACGACGCUCCCAAUGCUUUAAAUAUGUAACUGUGGAUUCGUGGCAAAGUGGCCUAGUGAAAAAUGUGAAAAUCAAGGAAAUCUGUUUUUUUUUUUUGUUGUUGUUGUUUUUUUUUAAACACAUUUUAUAAAUAAAAUAUUCUCGCAUUUCCCUUCAAUAUUGUGUUAUAUGUCAUUUAAAGUCGGCCAAUGAUCUGUCUAAAGGGUUGUUUAUUAUACUAUCUGUUUUUCAUCAUGUUAGACACCUCGCUGUAGUUCGUCGGGAAGCCGACUCUCAUCCGCACCGUGCAGUCUUGUUUACGGUCGUGCGCAGGCUAUCUGCUUGUUUAUUUUCCGCUAAUCCGUUAAUUCGUUUAUUUUCCUUCCUUCCUUUUAAUGAUUCAUUAAAGCUGCUGUGCUUUAGAUGCAUCCGCAGACACUGGGCACGUGUGUUUUGAAUGUAGCUCGUUAGCUUCUUCGCGC
Ictalurus punctatus (channel catfish) is the source of this 1082-nucleotide long non-coding RNA. The record is from Ensembl. Lineage: Eukaryota; Metazoa; Chordata; Actinopteri; Siluriformes; Ictaluridae.